RNAcentral lists this long non-coding RNA (1372 nucleotides) under Sparus aurata (gilthead seabream). RNAcentral's name for it is "lncRNA (ENSSAUG00010012361.1)". Lineage: Eukaryota; Metazoa; Chordata; Actinopteri; Spariformes; Sparidae. The record is from RNAcentral.
GGUUUCUACUGUAGACCUUUAAAUAUUACAAAAUAACAGGCACAGAUGCAGUUUGAGGGUUUCUUUUUUCAUGUCUUCGUCAACUCAAGCUCUAUCAAAACUUCUUUUAGAACAGCGAUGUCAGCAGCAGCAGCUUGGUCCAGCAACAGAGGAGUGGCUGGUGUCAGAGCCACUAAAGGCCUGUUCUUCAUCUUCACUCUGCUGUGUCUGGUUUGCCUCUCAAGUUCACUGAUUCAUAAAGACCAUCUGGAAGAAAUGAGGCAAGAGCUUCAGGAAUCACAAAGAAAAAUGGACAGCCUGAAGGCACAGUACAAGUCAAAACUGGCGACUACUCCAGAGCUCAUGAGUGAAUUUAGGAGUCUCGUGGACCCACUGAUAGCAUUCCUGAAGAAAGCCUCGAUUGAAUGUCCUGUCUUUUUGCCACUGGAGGGAAUGAUGGAGAACAUCAAGGACUUCAUGGAGGAAACCAGCGAGAAGAGUGAGGAGUUAACUUUACAAAUAAAGAUGGCUGACAAGCAACUGGGAUAUUACCAGAAAUUCAUCAAAUUCAUUGAAGAGCAAGAAGCUGAACUGUAACUCCCAUGUCACUUAGUUCCUAUAUCUCUGAUAUUGUAUCUGUUUAAUCGCAUUACUCAAUUUACAUUUACAUUUUUCUAUUUCCUGGCAUUGAAAUCAUGAUUUCAUUUGAGCUGUUUGUCAUAUGAAUCAGAGAAGGACUCCCAAUUGAAAAGGAUAGUGUGGAUGAUGUUUUAAUACACUUUUAUAAAAUACAUUUACUAAUGUAUGGAUAUGCAAGCAUCACCAUUUAGAAAGUGGAAAACAAUCUUUAUGCCAGAUGACACAAUUAACAGAUUUAACUGCUAGUUAGCUCAAAUAUUGGGGUAGAUUAUUGAGGUCUCUGAUGUUUUUGUGUUCUUCUGCUGGGUUAUUUUCAGUUUCUUUGAAGUAACAGAAACAAUAAAACAAACAAUAAUAUUCUGUCUACAUUCUUCCACAUAUGACUUGUAUGGUUAUUAUUUAGAUAUCAUAUAUUAAUACUGGGGAAAGCUGUUUAAAAACAAGUUGAACUAUUGUAAAGUGAUUCAGCCUGUGCGCAACCCAAAUAAAUUCCAUACAUAGGAAGUGUUGUUGUCUUCUUUCUCUCCAAUUCUAAAUAACCAAGAGUUUAAUCCAAAUAAUACAAAUGACACAUUGCUGCUGAGUCAACUUCUCUCCACUUGUGUUGCUAGACUCAGAUCAGUUAAAGACAUUUUUGUACAUACAAAGUCUCUUCUGAUUAGGAUCAGUGAUGACGUGUUUGUGGAAAUCUUUCACUGUAUGAUGAUGUUGUUGGCUGAAGUGGUAAAGAAUGAACUACAACUUCAAACUAAAG